This 75-nucleotide microRNA precursor is filed under the name Eptesicus fuscus (big brown bat). RNAcentral's name for it is "microRNA efu-mir-9361 precursor". The record is from miRBase by way of RNAcentral. Lineage: Eukaryota; Metazoa; Chordata; Mammalia; Chiroptera; Vespertilionidae.
CCCUUACUCAUAGCUUCCUAAGGUUCAUUUCCAUCCUGAGGGGGAAAAGAAUCAGAUGAGCUGAAGGAGAGAUAC